UUUUUUAGAAAUAACAGGUGCAAUGCCUUAAACUCAAGGGCCAGAUUCCAGUAACAAAAUAACAGUCUAUCAUAAUGUUUAGCCCACCACCACUCACAGAGGAAACAUUUGUCAUCAUCAUAACAAUUUGCCACUCACAUGCUUGUCUUACGUAAAUGUAGUAAACAUCCAAAUAUAGCCUUCAAGGGAAGAACCCUUCUUCACUCUUUUUUUUCAGUCUCUGGCUCAGAGGGCUAUCAUGGUUAAGACGUGCCCUUGUUGCUUGGUUUGCCCGAGGGCGGCUUGCUGCGCCUCCCAUUUGUUGCCCACUUUUGGCCAUUUGAGGUACCAUCGCUUCUGCCUUUACCUCGCCCCUGAUGCGCGCCUCUUUCAUUAUUGUGACUAGAAUUGAACUGUUUUUUUGAGUUUGGGGUUUCUGUUUCACUCAUUACAUAUUUCAAUGCCUCAAUGCCAUAACCCAGGAUUUUUAAAACUGUAUCCAUAUUGCUUGCUGCGGGUGCUGGGUCCACAGUUUCAUGUUGAAUUGUACGAGGACCCAACACAGCAUCUA
RNAcentral lists this unclassified non-coding RNA (550 nucleotides) under Hevea brasiliensis (rubber tree). Lineage: Eukaryota; Viridiplantae; Streptophyta; Magnoliopsida; Malpighiales; Euphorbiaceae. The record is from RNAcentral.